This is a long non-coding RNA of Austrofundulus limnaeus, 306 nucleotides long. RefSeq lists it as uncharacterized. The transcript is spliced from 3 exons. NCBI's taxonomy places the organism in Eukaryota, Metazoa, Chordata, Actinopteri, Cyprinodontiformes, Rivulidae. The record is from RefSeq and is a predicted model, not a curated record.
GUUCACUGACGAUCUGAUAGAGAAGGGGUUCUACAAAAACGUACGCUAACGAUAGAAGCAGGGUGGACGACUGUUGAUGAAACAACCCACACGGCUAGAAUUGUUUAUCCAGCUCAUUCUUCAGCUUAUAAAGUAAGACCUCCUCCUCCGCCGAGGCCCCGAUUGGCCGUAGACGCUCGACAGAAACCAUCUUUGUUCCAGUUGAUGAACUGUCCCUCGCUUUUUGUACGACACUGACGACGAUGAACGUCCGUACCGGCUUGAGAUCGCAGUGGAUGAUCUUCUCCCUGUGCAGCAUCUGCAGAC